RNAcentral lists this non-coding RNA (188 nucleotides) under Ligilactobacillus salivarius. RNAcentral's name for it is "Lactobacillus salivarius T-box sequence". It matches the Rfam family "T-box leader". Rfam says of the family: Uncharged tRNA acts as the effector for transcription antitermination of genes in the T-box leader family. T-boxes are found upstream of many aminoacyl-tRNA synthetase genes and some amino acid biosynthetic genes usually in Gram-positive bacteria. The anticodon of a specific tRNA base pairs to a specifier sequence within the T-box motif, and the NCCA acceptor tail of the tRNA base pairs to a conserved bulge in the T-box antiterminator hairpin. The record is from RNAcentral. Lineage: Bacteria; Bacillati; Bacillota; Bacilli; Lactobacillales; Lactobacillaceae.
AUUAAAGCGAUGAAGUAGAUUAGUAGAUUUGAUAGUCAAUUUUUAAGAGACUUGGUGGUGCUGCGAAUCAAGAUAAACUAUCAAUCGAAUUACACUAUGGAGCUUGUCCGGGUCAUUCCGAUAAAGAUGACAGAGCGGCUUUUUAAGCAAUCUGGGUGGUAACGCGGAAAUAAUUUUUCGUCCCUAAU